Molecule: ribosomal RNA, 505 nt
Filed under: uncultured bacterium
Lineage: Bacteria
Description: partial 16S ribosomal RNA
Rfam family: Bacterial small subunit ribosomal RNA
Source: RNAcentral
AGUGAACGCUGGCGGUAGGCCUAACACAUGCAAGUCGAACGGCAGCACAGGAGAGCUUGCUCUCUGGGUGGCGAGUGGCGGACGGGUGAGGAAUACAUCGGAAUCUACUCUGUCGUGGGGGAUAACGUAGGGAAACUUACGCUAAUACCGCAUACGACCUACGGGUGAAAGCAGGGGAUCUUCGGACCUUGCGCGAUUGAAUGAGCCGAUGUCGGAUUAGCUAGUUGGCGGGGUAAAGGCCCACCAAGGCGACGAUCCGUAGCUGGUCUGAGAGGAUGAUCAGCCACACUGGAACUGAGACACGGUCCAGACUCCUACGGGAGGCAGCAGUGGGGAAUAUUGGACAAUGGGCGCAAGCCUGAUCCAGCCAUGCCGCGUGGGUGAAGAAGGCCUUCGGGUUAUAAAGCCCUUUUGUUGGAAAGAAAUCCAGCUGGCUAAUACCCGGUUGGGAUGACGGUACCCAAAGAAUAAGCACCGGCUAACUUCGUGCCAGCCGCCGCGGUAA